GAUGAACGCUGGCGGCGUGCCUAACACAUGCAAGUCGAGCGAUUCUCUUCGGAGAAGAGCGGCGGACGGGUGAGUAACGCGUGGGUAACCUGCCCUGUACACACGGAUAACAUACCGAAAGGUAUGCUAAUACGAGAUAAUAUGCUUUUAUCGCAUGGUAGAAGUAUCAAAGCUUUUGCGGUACAGGAUGGACCCGCGUCUGAUUAGCUAGUUGGUAAGGUAACGGCUUACCAAGGCGACGAUCAGUAGCCGACCUGAGAGGGUGAUCGGCCACAUUGGAACUGAGACACGGUCCAAACUCCUACGGGAGGCAGCAGUGGGGAAUAUUGCACAAUGGGCGAAAGCCUGAUGCAGCAACGCCGCGUGAGCGAUGAAGGCCUUCGGUCGUAAGACUCUGUCUCAGAGAUAAUGACGGUACUUGAGGAGGAAGCCCCGGCGUAACUACGUGCCAGCAGCCGCGGUAAU
RNAcentral lists this ribosomal RNA (465 nucleotides) under uncultured bacterium. Its description in RNAcentral is "bacterial SSU rRNA". It matches the Rfam family "Bacterial small subunit ribosomal RNA", at positions 28 to 524 of the family's 1533-position model. The record is from RNAcentral.